ACCUGUUUUUGACAAGCCAAAAUCCGAAACCUUGGCCACCCAAUUCCGGUCUAAUAGUAUGUUUGAUGACUUCACAUCACGGUGGAUGAUGCUAUGCUUUGCACCCGUAUGAAGAUAGUGCAACCCUCGUGCCGCACCUAUGCAUAUUUGUAGUCUUUGCUUCCACGGAAGAGGAGGGUUCUUUGUUUUGUACAGAUGAUCUUGAA
RNAcentral lists this unclassified non-coding RNA (206 nucleotides) under Hevea brasiliensis (rubber tree). The record is from RNAcentral. Lineage: Eukaryota; Viridiplantae; Streptophyta; Magnoliopsida; Malpighiales; Euphorbiaceae.